RNAcentral lists this ribosomal RNA (443 nucleotides) under uncultured bacterium. RNAcentral describes it as "partial 16S ribosomal RNA". It matches the Rfam family "Bacterial small subunit ribosomal RNA", at positions 338 to 795 of the family's 1533-position model. The record is from RNAcentral.
CCUACGGGUGGCAGCAGUGGGGAAUAUUGGGCAAUGGGCGCAAGCCUGACCCAGCAACGCCGCGUGAAGGAAGAAGGCUUUCGGGUUGUAAACUUCUUUUCUCAGGGACGAAGCAAGUGACUGUACCUGAGGAAUAAGUCACGGCUAACUACGUGCCAGCAGCCGCGGUAAUACGUAGGUGGCAAGCGUUAUCCGGAUUGACUGGGUGUAAAGGGCGUGUAGGCGGGACUGCAAGUCAGGUGUGAAAACCAUGGGCUCAACCUAGGGACUGCAUUUGAAACUGUAGUGCUUGAGUACUGGAGAGGCAGGCGGAAUUCCUAGUGUAGCGGUGAAAUGCGUAGAUAUUAGGAGGAACACCAGUGGCGAAGGCGGUCUGCUGGACAGCAACUGACGCUGAGGCGCGAAAGCGUGGGGAGCAAACAGGAUUAGAUACCCGUGUAGUC